Molecule: small nuclear RNA, 21 nt
Filed under: Arabidopsis thaliana (thale cress)
Lineage: Eukaryota; Viridiplantae; Streptophyta; Magnoliopsida; Brassicales; Brassicaceae
Description: snRNA_12356
Source: RNAcentral
AUCCCUUAUUCCAUUUUCUGG